UGCGGGAUGGUGUAACGGCAGCACGCUCGGUUCUGGUCCGAGAAAUUGGGGUUCGAAUCCCUGUCCCGCAGCCU
This 74-nucleotide transfer RNA is filed under the name uncultured Solirubrobacteraceae bacterium. RNAcentral describes it as "tRNA-Gln-CTG". It matches the Rfam family "tRNA". From Rfam's summary of the family: Transfer RNA (tRNA) molecules are approximately 80 nucleotides in length. Lineage: Bacteria; Bacillati; Actinomycetota; Thermoleophilia; Solirubrobacterales; Solirubrobacteraceae. The record is from RNAcentral.